GCGUCGGUGGUUCAAGGUAGAAUACUCGCCUGCCACGCGGGCGGCCCGGGUUCGAUUCCCGGCCGACGCA
Molecule: transfer RNA, 70 nt
Filed under: Dermacentor silvarum
Lineage: Eukaryota; Metazoa; Arthropoda; Arachnida; Ixodida; Ixodidae
Description: transfer RNA glycine (anticodon GCC)
Rfam family: tRNA
About the family: Transfer RNA (tRNA) molecules are approximately 80 nucleotides in length. Their secondary structure includes four short double-helical elements and three loops (D, anti-codon, and T loops). Further hydrogen bonds mediate the characteristic L-shaped molecular structure. tRNAs have two regions of fundamental functional importance: the anti-codon, which is responsible for specific mRNA codon recognition, and the 3' end, to which the tRNAs corresponding amino acid is attached (by aminoacyl-tRNA synthetases). tRNAs cope with the degeneracy of the genetic code in two manners: having more than one tRNA (with a specific anti-codon) for a particular amino acid; and 'wobble' base-pairing, i.e. permitting non-standard base-pairing at the 3rd anti-codon position.
Source: RNAcentral